GAUGGCACGCACGGAGACGGUUGACUCCUGCUCGUCGAGCAAGUCUGCCUCGCCGAAGUACUCACCGUCGCCCAACAGGGCUAUCCGCAGGUUCUCGCCGUGUGAGCCUUUGCUGAUGACCUCAGCCUGACCCGAGGCCACGAUGAAGAAACGCUGUUUGUCCUUGCCCUCCUCGACGAAAAGCUUAUCCACAUCCACUUCCUUAGCUUCGAAUGAGCUUACCAGACGGUUCAGUAUCUCGUCGUCGAACUCAGAGAACAGGGGAAUAGCUUUCAGGUCCUUUGCCGUGAACGAGGGCACGCCGUUCACAUACUGGAUGGGCAAGCGGUCGUUCUUACGGAGUUCCACUUUCGUACGGUUCACGCGGAAUGUACCGCCGCUAACCUGUACCCACGGCAGGAGUUUCAGCAAUAGUCUCGGAGUGAUGCUGCCCAUCUGCGGGGCGGUCUUGGUAGUUGUCGCCAGCCUUCUGGCGGUAGCAGU
This 483-nucleotide non-coding RNA is filed under the name bovine gut metagenome. The record is from RNAcentral.